UACAGAGGGUGCGAGCGUUGUUCGGAAUCAUUGGGCGUAAAGGGCGCGUAGGCGGUCCCACAAGUCGAAUGUGAAAGCCCAGGGCUCAACCUUGGAAGUGCAUUCGAAACUAGGGGACUUGAGUCUCGGAGAGGGUGGUGGAAUUCCCAGUGUAGAGGUGAAAUUCGUAGAUAUUGGGAGGAACACCGGUGGCGAAGGCGACCACCUGGACGAAGACUGACGCUGAGGCGCGAAAGCGUGGGGAGCAAACAGG
RNAcentral lists this ribosomal RNA (253 nucleotides) under uncultured bacterium. Its description in RNAcentral is "partial 16S ribosomal RNA". It matches the Rfam family "Bacterial small subunit ribosomal RNA", at positions 524 to 776 of the family's 1533-position model. The record is from RNAcentral.